RNAcentral lists this ribosomal RNA (600 nucleotides) under uncultured bacterium. Its description in RNAcentral is "bacterial SSU rRNA". It matches the Rfam family "Bacterial small subunit ribosomal RNA", at positions 724 to 1329 of the family's 1533-position model. The record is from RNAcentral.
GCUGACGGGAGCGUUACUGACGCUUAAGCUCGAAGGCGCGGGUAUCGAACAGGAUUAGAUACCCUGGUAGUCCGCGCGGUAAACGAUGGAUGCCCGCUGUUUGCGUCUAACGUAAGCGGCCAAGUGAAAACGUUAAGCAUCCCACCUGGGGAGUACGCCGGCAACGGUGAAACUCAAAGGAAUUGACGGGGGCCCGCACAAGCGGAGGAACAUGUGGUUUAAUUCGAUGAUACGCGAGGAACCUUACCCGGGCUUGAACUGCAGGAGAACGAUCCAGAGAUGGUGAGGCCCUUCGGGGCUCCUGUGGAGGUGCUGCAUGGUUGUCGUCAGCUCGUGCCGUGAGGUGUCGGCUUAAGUGCCAUAACGAGCGCAACCCCUUUCGCCAGUUGCCAUCAGGUGAUGCUGGGCACUCCGGCGACACCGCCACCGUAAGGUGCGAGGAAGGUGGGGAUGACGUCAAAUCAGCACGGCCCUUACGUCCGGGGCUACACACGUGUUACAAUGGGUGGUACAGAGAGCUGGGUGCACGCAAGUUCACCCGAAUCAAGAAAGCCAUCCUCAGUUCGGAUUGGGGUCUGCAACCCGACCCCAUGAAGCUGG